UGAGUUUGUUUUUGUGGCUUAUUUCGGUUUGAUUUUUUCUUUCCGGAUGAUUACUUUGAGAAAAUUAGAGUGCUCAAAGCAGGCUUUUGCCUUGAAUAGUUUAGCAUGGAAUAAUAAAGUAGGACUUUGGUUCUAUUUUGUUGGUUUUAGGUACCAAAGUAAUGGUUAAUAGGAACAGUUGGGGGCAUUCGUAUUUAACUGUCAGAGGUGAAAUUCUUAGAUUUGUUAAAGACGAACUACUGC
RNAcentral lists this ribosomal RNA (243 nucleotides) under Theileria buffeli. Its description in RNAcentral is "partial 18S ribosomal RNA". The stretch from base 43 to 243 matches the Rfam family "Eukaryotic small subunit ribosomal RNA", at positions 744 to 946 of the family's 1831-position model. Lineage: Eukaryota; Apicomplexa; Aconoidasida; Piroplasmida; Theileriidae. The record is from RNAcentral.